UUUUUCUCGAAGACUAAAUUACAUAAAAUUUUUUACUAAAUAUUUUUUUUUUAUUUUUUUCUUAAUUUUUAAAAAUUAUAUUUUAUUUUUUUAAUAUUUCAAAUUGUUAUAUUUACCCCCGUCCAUCAGAUUCCAUCACUAUUACGUUUAUUUCUUAUAAUUUAUACCGAAAACACCCUUUAAAAUAAUAUAAAUAUAUUAAAAAAUUAUUUUUUUAUAGAAGAAGUAAAAAAUAAUUUGGUCAUUUUGCACUCUCCAUUAAUGUCGUACCCCCUCACAUCAGCGUAUUCUCUGAAAAUAUUUUGAAAUUUUAAGGAGACAAAAUGUAGGUUUUUGAAAGUCGAAGAGGGCAAGUAAAAAAAAGGGUACUUACAGGGUGGUUUUCUGUAAUUUAGCCUUUUCUUUUCUGCUUCAUUUCCCUUUUU
This 425-nucleotide long non-coding RNA is filed under the name Ananas comosus (pineapple). RNAcentral's name for it is "long non-coding RNA (ACOM_LNC031334)". Lineage: Eukaryota; Viridiplantae; Streptophyta; Magnoliopsida; Poales; Bromeliaceae. The record is from RNAcentral.